Molecule: long non-coding RNA, 392 nt
Organism: Dipodomys spectabilis (banner-tailed kangaroo rat)
Lineage: Eukaryota; Metazoa; Chordata; Mammalia; Rodentia; Heteromyidae
Exons: 4
Source: RefSeq, a predicted model, not a curated record
AUAUAUAGCCCGAGUCUGCAUUCUUGUGUCUGAGAGGCACUACUGGAUACACACAGUCAAGGACCACGGGUCACCAGCAAACCCACCAGAGGAAGAUUCUGUGCUUGGAAAACAACCAUGAGUGCAAGAAAUCUUUUCAGAGUCACCUCAGCUGGUGCGAAGCAUCUGGCCACCUCCCCAGAUGCCAGACAAUUCAUUGGGAAUGUCACUGAUUUUCUUGUGGACCAACUGGGCCCAGAGUAUGCCAGCCUCCUGGUGACUGAAGACCAAAUCUGGGAGGUGUUUGUGGCUGAGGCUGGACUGUCCAGGGAUGAAGCUGGGGCCCUGAAGAAAGCGCUGAAGAAUGGCACCGCAGACACGGUCCAGCAAGGCCAGCUGCAGAGGAAGAUCUU